Long non-coding RNA from Brachypodium distachyon (stiff brome), 536 nucleotides. RefSeq lists it as uncharacterized. The transcript is spliced from 2 exons. NCBI's taxonomy places the organism in Eukaryota, Viridiplantae, Streptophyta, Magnoliopsida, Poales, Poaceae. The record is from RefSeq and is a predicted model, not a curated record.
GGUCUAUAUAAAGGGUGGUUUGCACUGUUGGCUGUCGUGAGGUUCUGCAUUUCCGUGGCGGUGGUUCCUGCGUUGCUGGUUGUCCUGUUGCAGGGUUCUCCUCGGUGACUAUUCGGUUGGCCUGUUGUGGCUCGUGUUGCUGCCACGUCGUAGCUGAUUAUUCUUCAGGCCAUGCACCAGAUCCGUACUUAGUCUCUAUUGCGUCAGAUGGAUGCGCAUGAAUCUUUGGAGUUUGGGACGUUUGGGUUUAACUGCUUGGAAAAGCUCACACAAAAAUUCUUCAACCCGUUUGGGUGGUGCGCCAACAAUAGGAUUGGAGAUGUGUGACGUGUUUUCUAACUUGUUGUUUUGUUGAGUUGUAAUAACCGUGAUUUGGAUUCUUGCAAGGUUAUGUGAAUUGAUGGAUGCGUAGCCCGGAGACAUAUCUCUUUUUCGAAGAAAAAAUUUAGACAUAAGAUCAUACUCCCUGUGAUACAUAAAAAGUGUCGCAUACUUAGUACAAAAUUUGUACUAAUUUAGUACAGAAUGGACGACCA